GAUCAUGGCUCAGGAUGAACGUUGGCGGCGUGCCUAACACAUGCAAGUCGAGCGAUUUACUUCGGUAAAGAGCGGCGGACGGGUGAGUAACGCGUGGGUAACCUGCCCUGUACACACGGAUAACAUACCGAAAGGUAUGCUAAUACGAGAUAACAUGAGAGAGUCGCAUGGCUUUCUUAUCAAAGCUUUUGCGGUACAGGAUGGACCCGCGUCUGAUUAGCUAGUUGGUAAGGUAACGGCUU
RNAcentral lists this ribosomal RNA (242 nucleotides) under uncultured bacterium. RNAcentral describes it as "partial 16S ribosomal RNA". It matches the Rfam family "Bacterial small subunit ribosomal RNA", at positions 15 to 266 of the family's 1533-position model. The record is from RNAcentral.